AUGGAGCAGAAGGGGCGGCGCGACGGAGCAGGAGAAGAUGGCCGAGAAGAUGUUCAGGCGCGGCGCGGCGGGCGAAGAAGAAGAGUUUUGGUGAUGAGCUUGUGGCCACGCUGGACCAGCUACUGCAGCCCCCCUGCGCCGUCGCCGUGGGUCGCCUGUGUUCUGCUACUCCGGUGCCGGCACCUGUCCCUGUGCGGUGCCGUGCUCAGGAAUUUGACGAAGAAGGCGACUGCCGUGCUUGCGCGCGAGAAGGGCGCCGGACCUCGUUGGCGUUGCGAAGGGGGCACAGCUCAGGUUGGGUACGCCGUCGGCCAGCGCCGGCGGCGAGCACGCUCCGCUGUGACCUGUCCGCCACAGCCAGUCCUCUCCCGCCUCCCCCGACUCCGUGUCCUUGUCCAACGCAAAUCAAUGGAGCUGCCGACCAGGAUUGUUGUUGGCUUCUAUAAGAAGGGAGGGUCCUCGGCUCGAAUCUCCAUCAGGUCAAUUUUGGACGAAGCAUCCAAUGUCAACACCGAGUUCGCCGCAGGAAGAAGCGCCGAGUUCGCCGGAGGUAGAAGAAGCGCCGAGUUCGCCGAAGGUAGAAGAACAGCCGUCGAGCUGUCCAAUCUCGCCUGCAUUGGCUACAGCAGAGACACCCAUGUUGUGUUGUUGGUCUGUUGA
This 660-nucleotide ribosomal RNA is filed under the name Triticum aestivum (bread wheat). RNAcentral describes it as "partial small subunit ribosomal RNA". The record is from RNAcentral. Lineage: Eukaryota; Viridiplantae; Streptophyta; Magnoliopsida; Poales; Poaceae.